GGGCAAUGUUGGGGGUGCACGUGUCUAACCCUGGGCCUGAGUUAUAUACUGGCGGAGGAAGCCCGCCUCCCGCAGACUGGCCCAAGGUUUCAUCUAACACACGUAUAGAGGAAGAUGUUGUGAAGACACAUAGGAGAACACCAUGUGAAGAUGGAGGACUGCCCUGAUGCACCCACAAACCAAGGAACGCAGGAGGCCACCAGAAGCUGGAAGAGCGUCCUGGGCCAACAUGAGGCAGCUUAUUAGCAUGACUGGGUGGUAUGAUGUGAUUAGUUAGACUGGGGGCAUGAGACAGGGACUUUCACUACGCCGUAGCCUGCAUAUGUGUAGAGGACAGCCAGAUGUUCUGCGUGUCUGGGAAAGGGGACAAGUGGUCCAUAGAUGAAAGCUGAAAUCUAGAAGCCCAGAUAGAAUAAACACCAUGUAAGAAAUGGA
Suricata suricatta (meerkat) is the source of this 435-nucleotide long non-coding RNA. RefSeq lists it as uncharacterized. NCBI's taxonomy places the organism in Eukaryota, Metazoa, Chordata, Mammalia, Carnivora, Herpestidae. The transcript has 2 exons. The record is from RefSeq and is a predicted model, not a curated record.